CAAAGAGUAGCUUAAACAGAGCACUCAACUUACAAUUGAGAGAUGUUAGUUACCAUAACCUCUUUGC
Molecule: transfer RNA, 67 nt
Filed under: Cordylus oelofseni (Oelofsens girdled lizard)
Lineage: Eukaryota; Metazoa; Chordata; Lepidosauria; Squamata; Cordylidae
Description: tRNA-Val
Rfam family: tRNA
About the family: Transfer RNA (tRNA) molecules are approximately 80 nucleotides in length. Their secondary structure includes four short double-helical elements and three loops (D, anti-codon, and T loops).
Source: RNAcentral